This is a long non-coding RNA of Phyllostomus discolor (pale spear-nosed bat), 97 nucleotides long. RefSeq lists it as uncharacterized. Lineage: Eukaryota; Metazoa; Chordata; Mammalia; Chiroptera; Phyllostomidae. The record is from RefSeq and is a predicted model, not a curated record. The transcript has 3 exons.
GCUCCUGGUCUUUUCUCCCCACCUGAGCUGGGCAUGUUCCCCUUCAUGUAUUUCCUCCCCACUGAUCAAUGGAACCCAGUGACCUUUCUCCUGCUUG